Molecule: long non-coding RNA, 177 nt
Organism: Nannospalax galili (Upper Galilee mountains blind mole rat)
Lineage: Eukaryota; Metazoa; Chordata; Mammalia; Rodentia; Spalacidae
Exons: 3
Source: RefSeq, a predicted model, not a curated record
CUGAAAUACAAGAGAGGAUGGAGAAAAGGAAGUCACAGUAUUUUCAGAUCCUUCCAGAAGGAGUCUCACCAGGUUGCCAAGAAAUGGAAAAGAAAUAAGAACACCUGUAUUCCAAUGAGUGUACCAACUUACUCCUUUGAGGAGUGCUGGUUUUCAAGAACUACAAGAUGGCAUUGG